This 391-nucleotide ribosomal RNA is filed under the name uncultured bacterium. RNAcentral describes it as "bacterial SSU rRNA". It matches the Rfam family "Bacterial small subunit ribosomal RNA", at positions 362 to 770 of the family's 1533-position model. The record is from RNAcentral.
UAUUGCACAAUGGGGGGAACCCUGAUGCAGCGACGCCGCCUGAGCGAUGAAGUAUUUCGGUANGUAAAGCUCUAUCAGCAGUGAANNCANNNANGGUACCUGACUAAGAAGCCCCGGCUAACUACGUGCCAGCAGCCGCGGUAAUACGUAGGGGGCAAGCGUUAUCCGGAUUUACUGGGUGUAAAGGGAGCGUAGACGGCUGUGCAAGCCAGAUGUGAAAGCCCGGGGCUCAACCCCGGGACUGCAUUUGGAACUGUGUGGCUGGAGUGUCGGAGAGGCAGGCGGAAUUCCUAGUGUAGCGGUGAAAUGCGUAGAUAUUAGGAGGAACACCAGUGGCGAAGGCGGCUUGCUGGACGAUGACUGACGUUGAGGCUCGAAAGCGUGGGGAGCC